Molecule: ribosomal RNA, 253 nt
Filed under: uncultured bacterium
Lineage: Bacteria
Description: partial 16S ribosomal RNA
Rfam family: Bacterial small subunit ribosomal RNA
Source: RNAcentral
UACGUAGGUGGCAAGCGUUGUCCGGAUUUACUGGGUGUAAAGGGCGUGCAGCCGGGCUGACAAGUCAGAUGUGAAAUCCCGCGGCUCAACCGCGGAACUGCAUUUGAAUCUGUCAGUCUUGAGUACCGGAGAGGUCAUCGGAAUUCCUUGUGUAGCGGUGAAAUGCGUAGAUAUAAGGAAGAACACCAGUGGCGAAGGCGGAUGACUGGACGGCAACUGACGGUGAGGCGCGAAAGCGUGGGGAGCAAACAGG